This is a non-coding RNA of Xenopus laevis (African clawed frog), 136 nucleotides long. The record is from Rfam. NCBI's taxonomy places the organism in Eukaryota, Metazoa, Chordata, Amphibia, Anura, Pipidae.
UGCAGCCUUGUCAAAUUCAGCAUCUCCUGACCCGUGGCUGAUGCUGGCCUAAAUGGCUGCUACAGGAUCCCUGCAGCUCAUGGGCCUCACUCCUAUAUCUCUAGGCCGUGGGGAUAAGUGUGCGCUGCAGACAAGA